Non-coding RNA from Mauremys mutica (yellowpond turtle), 1456 nucleotides. The record is from the annotation of a RefSeq genome assembly. Lineage: Eukaryota; Metazoa; Chordata; Testudines; Geoemydidae.
CCCAGUGCUCUCAGAAGGAAAACCCUUUCCCUCCCCCACCCACUUGAACAGGGUAAAUGUACCGAGUUGCUUCCAGCCUGAAGGCCACCCCUGGAGGCUGAGCGGUGUCACAGCUUCACCUCAUCCAGGUUCAGCUGCAGCCACUUCAUUCUGCGGCUGAGUCCCUGACAAUGAGCCUGGGCGCUUUGCUGCUGGUGCUGGCUCCAGGUGCGUUGGCCCAAUACACGGUGACCCAGGAGCCGUCCCAGGUCGCUGCCAAUGAAGGAGAACCCAUCCAGCUCAACUGCUCCUACACGGGCACCGAGGACAGCGUGCAUUGGUACCGCCAGCCCCAUGGGGGCCAUCCGCGGUUCCUGGCGCUCCUGUCCUCUAGCGGCAGAGACACCCGAGAGAAUUUCACCAUGAGCCUGGACACCAAAACCAAAAGCAGCUUCUUGUACCUGAACAGCAGCCGCCUGGCAGACUCUGCUGUGUAUCUGUGCGCGCUGGAGCACAGUGCCAGGUGAGCACAGGCAGCCCGUCACAAAACCCUGGGUGGGGGCAGGGCACACGGACCCGAGAGAGGAGACAAGCAGAAGUUAGAAUAGAGCAGAGGAUAUGAGCACAGAAGAGAAGAAAGGAAAGUAGAACAGAGUCGGCGAGAGGCUAUAAGUAUAGAAUGGAACUGAAGAGAACACACGGGAACGGACCGGAACAGGAGCGAUGUGAACAGAAUAAAGGGGAGAGAAGAGAACAGGGGUCAGUAAUUUAAGGAAGAAACUUGAAGAAUCAUCUGAAAAAUUAUAGACAUUUUCACCUUUUCGCCUUCCCCAAUUGCCUGGAUCUGGUGGUUUUAUAUAAAAAAAAUAGCUUCCUUGCCCCACAACACUAGCAGAUGGGGAAGCAUUCCCUGGGGAGACAACAUGGGAACUCAGUCAUUCCAAUGCGAUUUUCUCUGUUGUUCGGGUCAGACACUGUCAGACUGGUAACAUGCACACAGACAUUCUCACAUACAGCCACACACAGGACACACUCGCACAAGUACUCUCUCUCUCUCUCUCUCUCUCUCUCACACACACACACAUUCUCACAUACAACCACUCUCUAGAUUCUAACACAAAGCCAGAAACCUACUCACUGAAAUCACACACACACGCAUAGUCUCUGACAUAUAUCCCCCCUUCAUACACACUCAGAAAUAUAGAUAGCUAUGCAUACACACCAUGACACACACACACUUAAUCUCAGAGGUAAACAGCUCCAUUCACACUCGAGAUGAUAAUAUCCUCGAUUGGACCAUCUUCUGUUGGGGACACAAGUUUUCCAGCUACAGAGAGCUCUUCCUCCGCUGGGAAUCGUCUCUCUCUCACCAACAGAAGUUGGUCCAUUAAAAGAUAUGACCUCACCCACCUUGGCACCAACACAGCUACAACAACGCGGCACGCUCCUAGAUAAACAGCCUGGCCCCCAGAGUGAA